This 757-nucleotide ribosomal RNA is filed under the name uncultured archaeon. Its description in RNAcentral is "bacterial SSU rRNA". It matches the Rfam family "Archaeal small subunit ribosomal RNA", at positions 21 to 785 of the family's 1478-position model. The record is from RNAcentral.
CCUGACUGCUAUCGGAUUGAUACUAAGCCAUGCGAGUCAUUGUAGCAAUACAAGGCAGACGGCUCAGUAACGCGUAGUCAAUCUACCCUAUGGACGGGAAUAGCCUCGGGAAACUGAGAAUAAUGCCCGAUAGAACAUUAUGCCUGGAAUGGUUUAUGUUUCAAAUGAUUUAUCGCCGUAGGAUGGGACUGCGGCCUAUCAGUUUGUUGGUGAGGUAAUGGCCCACCAAGACUAUUACAGGUACGGGCUCUGAGAGGAGUAGCCCGGAGAUGGGUACUGAGACACGGACCCAGGCCCUAUGGGGCGCAGCAGGCGAGAAAACUUUGCAAUGUGCGAAAGCACGACAAGGUUAAUCCGAGUGGUUUCUGCUAAAGAAACCUUUUGUUAGUCCUAGAAACACUAUUGAAUAAGGGGUGGGCAAGUUCUGGUGUCAGCCGCCGCGGUAAAACCAGCACCUCAAGUGGUUAGGAUGAUUAUUGGGCCUAAAGCAUCCGUAGCUCGUUUUGUAAGUUUUCGGUUAAAUCCAUGCGCUUAACGUAUGGGCUGCCGGGAAUACUGCAUAACUAGGAAGUGGGAGAGGUAGACGGUACUCGGUAGGAAGGGGUAAAAUCCUUUGAUCUAUUGAUGACCACCUGUGGCGAAGGCGGUCUACCAGAACACGUUCGACGGUGAGGGAUGAAAGCUGGGGGAGCAAACCGGAUUAGAUACCCGGGUAGUCCCAGCUGUAAACUAUGCAAACUCAGUGAUGCAUUGGCUU